AUGGCUCAGGAUGAACGCUAGCUACAGGCUUAACACAUGCAAGUCGAGGGGCAGCAUUGGGAUAGCUGCUAUUCAGAUGGCGACCGGCGCACGGGUGAGUAACGCGUAUCCAACCUUCCUGCCAGUAGGGAACAGCCCGGCGAAAGUCGGAUUAAUGCCCUAUGUUCUUCAAUGCGGACAUCUAAGUUGAAGGAAAGAUUCAUCGCUGGCAGAUGGGGAUGCGUCCGAUUAGCUUGCCGGCGGGUAACGGCCCACCGGGGCGACGAUCGGUAGGGGUUCUGAGAGGAAGGUCCCCCACACUGGUACUGAGACACGGACCAGACUCCUACGGGAGGCAGCAGUGAGGAAUAUUGGUCAAUGGGCGUAAGCCUGAACCAGCCAAGUAGCGUGCAGGAAUGACGGCCCUACGGGUUGUAAACUGCUUUUAUGCGGGGAUAAAGUGCGGCACGUGUGCCGCUUUGCAGGUACCGCAUGAAUAAGGACCGGCUAAUUCCGUGCCAGCAGCCGC
This 508-nucleotide ribosomal RNA is filed under the name uncultured bacterium. Its description in RNAcentral is "bacterial SSU rRNA". It matches the Rfam family "Bacterial small subunit ribosomal RNA", at positions 19 to 518 of the family's 1533-position model. The record is from RNAcentral.